RNAcentral lists this ribosomal RNA (439 nucleotides) under uncultured bacterium. RNAcentral describes it as "partial 16S ribosomal RNA". It matches the Rfam family "Bacterial small subunit ribosomal RNA", at positions 338 to 795 of the family's 1533-position model. The record is from RNAcentral.
CCUACGGGGGGCAGCAGUGGGGAAUAUUGCACAAUGGGCGAAAGCCUGAUGCAGCCACGCCGCGUGAGCGAUGAAGGCCUUCGGGUCGUAAAGCUCUGUCCUCAAGGACGAUAAUGACGGUACUUGAUGAGGAAGCCCCGGCUAACUACGUGCCAGCAGCCGCGGUAAUACGUAGGGGGCUAGCGUUAUCCGGAAUUACUGGGCGAAAAGGGUGCGUAGGUGGUUUCUUAAGUCAGAGGUGAAAGGCUACGGCUCAACCGUAGUAAGCCUUUGAAACUGGGAAACUUGAGUGCAGGAGAGGAGAGUGGAAUACCUAGUGUAGCGGUGAAAUGCGUAGAUAUUAGGAGGAACACCAGUUGCGAAGGCGGCUCUCUGGACUGUAACUGACACUGAGGCACGAAAGCGUGGGGAGCAAACAGGAUUAGAUACCCCUGUAGUC